GAAAAGGGAGAGGGUGAGAGAGAAUUACUGAGCAGUCUCUCCAGUGAUCACAGAGCCCUACACAGGGCUCGGUCUUAGGACCCUGAGAUCAUGACGUAAGGGGAAACCAGGUGUUGAACACUUAACCUACUGAGUCACUCAGCAAUACUGUAUGGUCAAGAAAUAGAAGCAAAGGCUGAGAAUUGGAAGAUUGCUCCACUAUUGAGAAUUUUCUAAAAAGUUCCACAAAUAAAAAAGUUCUGUGUGUCCUGGUGAGUGACAAUUAAGUGCAUCCCUUUUCAAAGUGGGAGAAAUGUACCUAAGGCCAAGACAAUCAAGAAAAAAAUAGAGCAAUCACAGAUGGGAGCAAUAUUACUCAAUGUUGUCUACAAACACCUGCACCUGCCUUAUCAAAGACAUCAACAAAAUUUAUUGGGGCAGCUAAUUAUUUCAAGUACCAUUGGAUAAGAAGCUUUUGCACAGCAAAGGAUACAGUCAACAAAACUCAAAGACAACCUACAGAAUGGGAGAAGAUAUUUGCAAAUGACAUAUCAGAUA
Molecule: long non-coding RNA, 537 nt
Organism: Canis lupus familiaris (dog)
Lineage: Eukaryota; Metazoa; Chordata; Mammalia; Carnivora; Canidae
Exons: 3
Source: RefSeq, a predicted model, not a curated record